AUUGCUAAACGUUCAAGACUGCUCAUUGGAGUGAUGUGGUCGGACAUUCACCCUACCAUCCAUUGACUCAUUGUUGCAGAUAUCAUAGACAGGUGGGACCUGGAAGACACACCAGAAACAUAAGAAAAAGUUCUCAAAAUUACGAAAGAGCGAUAUAAAGGCUGGCGAUCAACUCUAACCUUGACUUACAAGACAUACAAAACAUAUGCAGCUAGAUUGGCUAAUCCGCAAGAAGAUUUACAACCAGAAUAGUGGGAAUGGAUGAUUGAGUACUUUGGCACUGAUUCAAAAUUUAAGGAACACAGCCAAAAACACACCGAUAAUCGUAAGAAACAGAAGACAAAACACAUAAUUGGAUCAAAAUCUUACUCACAACUAAGUUUUGAGAAGAGAAACAUGAAAACUGGAGAAGAGCCAGAUUGUAUUGCUCUGUGGGAACUCACCCACACGAAGAAUGGAACAUGGUCUAACAUAGAGUCCCAAGAUGUUUAUGACAAAGCACAUCAAGAAGUUGAAACCAUAGAAACUGAAACUCAUGGCCCACUUUCAAGUGAGCAGAGAAACAAUAUUUUCCAGACUGCAUACAAACACACUCUGCAAUGCAAGUCAUCGUAGCCUCGUGGGUAUGGAUACAUGGACAAACCUUCAACUUGUUCUGAAAGGUUUCGGGUCCAGAUUGAAGAGCAAGCUUGUCCUAUAGCAGCAACCCAGCAGCAAAACUCUGAGCUCAGCCAGGUCAACGAAUUACAAGAUCAACUACAAGCUGAAAGUGCAAACACACAAGAGAGGAUUAACUUGGAGCAUUCUGAGAGAGAACAACUUCAUAAGAGGUUAAAAGAAGAGUGUGCUAAAAGAGAAAGAUUGUUGGAGGAGGAGCGAACAUCAAGACUGGAAUUUCAAAAAAAAAUGAUGCCAAAGUUUGCAAAAUUGAGCCAACAUAUGGGAACCCAAUAGGUGCCUAUGAAGAGGAUUGACAAAGAAAAUAGUAGUCCAAACUUGCAAAAUACUCUUUUACAGAGAUCUAGUCCUAGUAAGACUCAAUGUGCAAGGCUAACUGUUAUUUCUUCAAAUGCGCUCAUACAAGCUACAACAAGGAAUUCUCGAAUGUUUAAAGCAAUGGUAAGUCACAACCUUGCUUUCUCUUCAUGUUCACCUGCAUUUUAUACGUCAUUGACCUUCAUAAUUAGCUAG
Molecule: ribosomal RNA, 1191 nt
Filed under: Triticum aestivum (bread wheat)
Lineage: Eukaryota; Viridiplantae; Streptophyta; Magnoliopsida; Poales; Poaceae
Description: partial small subunit ribosomal RNA
Source: RNAcentral